RNAcentral lists this ribosomal RNA (369 nucleotides) under uncultured bacterium. RNAcentral's name for it is "bacterial LSU rRNA". It matches the Rfam family "Bacterial large subunit ribosomal RNA", at positions 2482 to 2789 of the family's 2925-position model. The record is from RNAcentral.
CUAAUGUAUUUCCAAGAGUCCUUAAUUGCCGGAAUCGUUUGGCACCUCGAUGUCGGCUCAUCUUAUCCUGGGUACGUAGGAAGAUCCAAGGGUACGUCUGUUCGACGUUUAAAAGGUACGUGAGCUGGGUUUAGAACGUCGUGAGACAGUUUUGGUCCCUAUCUACUAUGGGUUUUAAAAAUUGAAAGGGUUGCGGGCUAGUAUGAGAAGAAUGCAUCUAUCAAUGGUUUAGUUUUUAUACUUUUUAAUCGAAAGAUAACAUUGUUAAUAAAGCAAAUGCGCAAUAAACCUAUAGUUUUGGGCUAUAAUAUUUUUGUAUGUCUAGAUGCCACGUUUGUUAAAUAUAACUGCUGAAUUCAUGUAAGCGGG